CCUACGGGUGGCAGCAGUGGGGAAUAUUGCGCAAUGGGCGAAAGCCUGACGCAGCGACGCCGCGUGAGGGAUGAAGGUCUUCGGAUCGUAAACCUCUGUCAGCAGGGAAGAACGGUCACUGUGCUAAUCAGCAGUGAAUUGACGGUACCUGCAAAGGAAGCACCGGCUAACUCAGUGCCAGAAGCCGCGGUAAUACGGAGGGUGCGAGCGUUAAUCGGAAUUACUGGGCGUAAAGCGCUCGUAGGCGGUAUGUCAAGUCAAGGGUGAAAUCCCCGCGCUAAACGUGGGAACUGCCUUUGAAACUGGCAAACUGGAGUGUGUGAGAGGAGAGUGGAAUUCCAGGUGUAGGAGUGAAAUCCGUAGAUAUCUGGAGGAACAUCAGUGGCGAAGGCGACUAGCUGGAACAUAACUGACGCUGAGGAGCGAAAGCGUGGGUAGCAAACAGGAUUAGAUACCCUUGUAGUC
This 465-nucleotide ribosomal RNA is filed under the name uncultured bacterium. RNAcentral describes it as "partial 16S ribosomal RNA". It matches the Rfam family "Bacterial small subunit ribosomal RNA", at positions 338 to 795 of the family's 1533-position model. The record is from RNAcentral.